CCUCCCCUGUCUUUAGUAUUCUUCCUCUUCCAAAAAUCUUGUCUAAUUAAACAAUGGAAACUCUAAUUCUUCCAACAAACGUAUUCUAUGAUACGCAAUACUUAUCUUGAUAUAAUCUAUACAAUUGAGGUUAGCUCAUGGCAGAAUUAAUUCCUAGUUUCGCCCUUGUUCACACAAACGGAUACCGACCCGGCCUUUUAUGUCUCCCUUUGGAUGGCAGUGAACUGAAAGUGAUAGUUGUUCGACUACAGGGGAGCGAGCAAUUCGCUUUGGAAACAUUAUUUUGCAUGGGGUGCAAACAGGUGGCAACCUUGAAACGGUUUGCCAUGAUAAGAUUGAACAAACAUCAACAUUAGACUUUUAUAUCCUGAAUGAGGAGACGGCAUCAGAUUGGUACGAUACGUUUUUGUCGUUUGGGUUGUCAAGCCUUUCCCGAGGGGUUGAAACUCUUACUUUGCUCGUCCUCUCUGAUAAGGAAAAUAGUGGUUCCAUACGAACAAGAAGGUGUGCUUUUUGAUUUGAAGACCUUAAUCAUUGAGGUGAUCGAGGCUAUGUAAGAGAAUAUAUUAAUUGGUAUUGCCUUCUAUGCACUUAGAAGAUGCCCACACAUUAGCGCCCUACAUAUUGUGUCUACGGGUGACCCCAAUAGGAGAAAGUCUUUCCAGUUUCAAUACAAGUUUAAUAGUGUAGAGAAUCAUCAGUUAUGCUGUGCUGUCGUGAAGGCGAAGAGAAAAAUCUGCAAAAAGUCAUUUGUAGCAAACUCACCGAAAUGGAAGAAAAUCACUUGAUAAUGGGCUUGCAUUUU
Rhododendron vialii is the source of this 805-nucleotide long non-coding RNA. RefSeq lists it as uncharacterized. The transcript is spliced from 3 exons. The record is from RefSeq and is a predicted model, not a curated record. NCBI's taxonomy places the organism in Eukaryota, Viridiplantae, Streptophyta, Magnoliopsida, Ericales, Ericaceae.